AGUGAACGCUGGCGGUAGGCCUAACACAUGCAAGUCGAACGGCAGCACAGUAAGAGCUUGCUCUUACGGGUGGCGAGUGGCGGACGGGUGAGGAAUACAUCGGAAUCUACUUUUUCGUGGGGGAUAACGUAGGGAAAUUUACGCUAAUACCGCAUACGACCUACGGGUGAAAGCAGGGGAUCUUCGGACCUUGCGCGAUUGAAUGAGCCGAUGUCGGAUUAGCUAGUUGGCGGGGUAAAGGCCCACCAAGGCGACGAUCCGUAGCUGGUCUGAGAGGAUGAUCAGCCACACUGGAACUGAGACACGGUCCAGACGCCUACGGGAGGCAGCAGUGGGGAAUAUUGGACAAUGGGCGCAAGCCUGAUCCAGCCAUACCGCGUGGGUGAAGAAGGCCUUCGGGUUGUAAAGCCCUUUUGUUGGGAAAGAAAAGCAGCAGGUUAAUACCCCGCUGUUCUGACGGUACCCAAAGAAUAAGCACCGGCUAACUUCGUG
This 492-nucleotide ribosomal RNA is filed under the name uncultured bacterium. RNAcentral's name for it is "partial 16S ribosomal RNA". It matches the Rfam family "Bacterial small subunit ribosomal RNA", at positions 29 to 507 of the family's 1533-position model. The record is from RNAcentral.